Molecule: ribosomal RNA, 407 nt
Filed under: uncultured bacterium
Lineage: Bacteria
Description: partial 16S ribosomal RNA
Rfam family: Bacterial small subunit ribosomal RNA
Source: RNAcentral
GCCGAACGCUGGCGGCGUGCCUAAUACAUGCAAGUAGGACGCAGUUGCGAACGGGUGAGUAACGCGUUGGUAACUGCCUAUUAGAGGGGGAUAACUAUUGGAAACGAUAGCUAAUACCGCAUACUCGUAGAUGGACCUGCGUUGUAUUAGCUAGUAGGUAGGGUAAUGGCCUACCUAGGCGACGAUACAUAGCCGACCUGAGAGGGGGAUCGGCUACACUGGGACCGAGACACGGCCCAGACUCCUACGGGAGGCAGCAGUAGGGAAUCGUCGGAAAUGGGGGGAAGCAUGACCGAGCAACGCCGCGUGAGUGAAGAAGGUUUUCGGAUCGGAAAGCUCUGUUGUUAAGGAAGCGGUACUUAACCAGAAAGGGACGGCUAACUACGUGCCAGCAGCCGCGGUAAUAC